AACGAACGCUGGCGGCAGGCCUAACACAUGCAAGUCGAACGCCGUAGCAAUACGGAGUGGCAGACGGGUGAGUAACACGUGGGAACAUACCCUUCGGUUCGGAAUAACUCAGGGAAACGUUGAGCUAAUACCGGAUACGUCCGCGAGGAGAAAGAUUCAUCGCCGGAGGAUUGGCCCGCGUCUGAUUAGCUUGUUGGUGAGGUAACGGCUCACCAAGGCGACGAUCAGUAGCUGGCUGAGAGGAUGAUCAGCCACAUUGGGACUGAGACACGGCCCAAACUCCUACGGGAGGCAGCAGUGGGGAAUAUUGGACAAUGGGCGCAAGCCUGAUCCAGCCAUGCCGCGUGAGUGAU
This 353-nucleotide ribosomal RNA is filed under the name uncultured bacterium. Its description in RNAcentral is "bacterial SSU rRNA". It matches the Rfam family "Bacterial small subunit ribosomal RNA", at positions 29 to 409 of the family's 1533-position model. The record is from RNAcentral.